UCGCAAAUCGAUCGGCGAACUCUGCCUCUUCCAAGCAUGAAGUGUCUCUUGCACGCACAGUUGAACCUGCAGAGCUACAUCUUGUGUUGACUCGUCGAAUCUGUAUUCUCCACGAAUCGCCAAGUUUUUUCGUCUACAACCAUUUCGUUGUUACAGCUUUAUGGUGGCAAUGUCUGAAGUUUCUGGUGAUAAUGGGUGAAGAAGGUACUGCUAUUGUGGGCAUCCGGUGCGUUUGAGAACUUCUUGGACGGAGAGGAACCCCGGUCGAACGUUUCUAGGUUGUCGAUCAAAUGGUACACGAUAUGCUUGCAAUUUUUUCGUUGACAAUGCUCCAGAUGAUAGGUAUAAGAUAGUCAUAAAUGGGUUGAUUCGUUCAAAGAACAAGCUGGAAGAAAAAAACCAAAAAUUCUGCAAAUUGAUGAAAGUGUACAAAAUUGCACUUUCUACCAUUUUCCUCUUGGUCAUAAUCUGGCCAGUUGGUUGAAGUAUUGCAUCCUACGUAUUAACUUGGGUCAUUGUAAUGUUAGUUGAAUCUUACGCAUUACAGUUGCUUGUAAUUGUAGCUUUCAAUUUGUGUAGUAGUGUGUCUCUGCAAGUGUUGUAAACGGAUAUUGAGUUAUGUUGUAAUCAACACGUAUUCUUGGAA
RNAcentral lists this long non-coding RNA (646 nucleotides) under Olea europaea subsp. europaea. Lineage: Eukaryota; Viridiplantae; Streptophyta; Magnoliopsida; Lamiales; Oleaceae. The record is from RNAcentral.